Long non-coding RNA from Sipha flava (yellow sugarcane aphid), 715 nucleotides. RefSeq lists it as uncharacterized. The record is from RefSeq and is a predicted model, not a curated record. NCBI's taxonomy places the organism in Eukaryota, Metazoa, Arthropoda, Insecta, Hemiptera, Aphididae. The transcript has 4 exons.
UUUAUUUUGUAUUAUAAAUUAAAAUUAUUCGUUUAACACGAUUUAAGGAUAAUGUUGAUGGACUAAGGUAGUACUAAGUCUAAAAACUCUAAAAAAACAAACAACUUUUGAGUUUUUAAUUUAUAGCCAUCCCCUAGAUUUUAUAUUUGUCAGAUCAGCCUCAGAUGUGAAACAUUCAAUACUUGUGAGACUAGAUUUACAUUUUGGACAAGAACUUCUUUUAGUUAUUUGGAACGAGUCUGCACUUGAAGGAAACCGCACAGAGUCCAUAUUUAAAUAUAUUUGUUCAAAAAUAUUUUUUAUAGAAUUGGUUAUUUUACUAUGGUCAAGGUUGGGCUCUUUUAUUAAAUGUGUAUGAACUGGAAUACUACACAUUUGAGUUCUAUUAUUUUCAUAUUGUUUCUAAGAAUAAGCAAAAUUAUGACAGAAUAUAAACAUUAUAUGGGGAGAGAGGCAAAAUAGGCAGAGCUAAUUUAUCAGAAUUAUCAAAGGAAUUCUCAUGACUAAUAUUCAGUUUUUUUACAACACUGUUUGAUUUCGAAGGCAGUUGAUUUGUAUGUAUAUUGCCUUCAUCAACAAUUGCACCAAGUAUCAGGAAUAUUAUUACUUAAACCUUCAAAUUCAACUAUAGGAUAUGCAUCUAGUUUUAAAAGCAUCUUAAUAUAAAAAUAUGUGUUAAAAAAAGAAUUAUGUUAAUAAAAUAAUGUAAUAUAUA